CGGCACGGGUGAGUAACACGUAUCCAACCUGCCGUCUACUCUUGGACAGCCUUCUGAAAGGAAGAUUAAUACAAGAUGGCAUCAUGAGUUCACAUGUUCACAUGAUUAAAGGUAUUCCGGUAGACGAUGGGGAUGCGUUCCAUUAGAUAGUAGGCGGGGUAACGGCCCACCUAGUCUUCGAUGGACAGGGGUUCUGAGAGGAAGGUCCCCCACAUUGGAACUGAGACACGGUCCAA
RNAcentral lists this ribosomal RNA (236 nucleotides) under uncultured bacterium. RNAcentral describes it as "partial 16S ribosomal RNA". It matches the Rfam family "Bacterial small subunit ribosomal RNA", at positions 100 to 334 of the family's 1533-position model. The record is from RNAcentral.